UACGAAGGGUGCGAGCGUUAAUCGGAAUUACUGGGCGUAAAGCGCACGUAGGUGGCGACGUAAGUCGGGUGUGAAAGCCCCGGGCUCAACCUGGGAAUUGCAUUCGAGACUGCAUUGCUGGAGUACGGAAGAGGAAGGCGGAAUUCCCGGUGUAGCGGUGAAAUGCGUAGAUAUCGGGAGGAACAUCAGUGGCGAAGGCGGCCUUCUGGUCCAGUACUGACACUCAAGUGCGAAAGCGUGGGGAGCAAACAGG
This 253-nucleotide ribosomal RNA is filed under the name uncultured bacterium. RNAcentral describes it as "partial 16S ribosomal RNA". It matches the Rfam family "Bacterial small subunit ribosomal RNA", at positions 524 to 776 of the family's 1533-position model. The record is from RNAcentral.